CGCAUCUGUGCAUGCAGCAUAUCAAUAAGCGGAGGAAAAGAAACUAACAAGGAUUCCCUCAGUAACGGCGAGUGAAGCGGGAAGAGCUCAAAUUUGAAAUCUUGAAAGGUCUACCUUGCACGAAUUGUAGUUUAAAGAAGUGUUUUCUGUGACGAUCUGGUAAUAUAAGUUCUUUGGAAUAGGACAUCACAGAGGGUGAGAAUCCCGUCUAUGAUUGCGAUUAUGUAGCUUUGUGAUACACUUUCAAAGAGUCGGGUUGUUUGGGAAAUGCAGCCCAAAACGGGAGGUAAAUUUCUUCUAAGGCUAAAUAUUGGCGAGAGACCGAUAGCGAACAAGUACCGUGAGGGAAAGAUGAAAAGAACUUUGAAAAGAGAGUUAAAUAGUACGUGAAAUUGUCAAAAGGGAAGCGUUUAACACCAGUGUUGUUUUCUGAAAAUCAACCUCUGUUAGCUUUAUGCAUGUUUGUUUAGACCUAAUCAGCUAUCUUGCAUGUUCUAUUGUUUGCAGUGGUGCACUUUUCAGUUUACAGGUCAACAUCAGUUUUUUUUACCGUAAAAAAGUUAAAGAAAGGUAGCUCAUGGCUCCGGUCGUGAGUGUUAUAGUCUUUUUCCUAUGCGGUAGGAGAGACUGAGGUCUGCAGUGUAGGCUAUUUGGCUAGAUACUCAGGUGCUAUGUGAUACCAUUUCAUAAACAACUUGUUGAUUAUGUUUUGUCUAUUGCAUACUCGCUUGUACUAUCAUACCUACGCUUAGGAUGUUGACGAUCAGCUGAGCGCG
This 776-nucleotide ribosomal RNA is filed under the name uncultured Neocallimastigales. RNAcentral describes it as "partial large subunit ribosomal RNA". It matches the Rfam family "Eukaryotic large subunit ribosomal RNA", at positions 26 to 637 of the family's 3401-position model. Lineage: Eukaryota; Fungi; Neocallimastigomycota; Neocallimastigomycetes; Neocallimastigales. The record is from RNAcentral.